GAUGAACGCUGGCGGCGUGCCUAAUACAUGCAAGUCGAGCGAACAGACGAGGAGCUUGCUCCUCUGACGUUAGCGGCGGACGGGUGAGUAACACGUGGAUAACCUACCUAUAAGACUGGGAUAACUUCGGGAAACCGGAGCUAAUACCGGAUAAUAUAUUCAACCGCAUGGUUCAAUAGUGAAAGACGGUUUUGCUGUCACUUAUAGACGGAUCCGCGCCGCAUUAGCUAGUUGGUAAGGUAACGGCUUACCAAGGCGACGAUGCGUAGCCGACCUGAGAGGGUGAUCGGCCACACUGGAACUGAGACACGGUCCAGACUCCUACGGGAGGCAGCAGUAGGGAAUCUUCCGCAAAGGGCGAAAGCCUGACGGAGCAACGCCGCGUGAGUGAUGAAGGUCUUCGGAUCGUAAAACUCUGUUAUUAGGGAAGAACAGAUGUGUAAGUAACUAUGCACGUCUUGACGGUACCUAAUCAGAAAGCCACGGCUAACUACGUG
RNAcentral lists this ribosomal RNA (497 nucleotides) under uncultured bacterium. RNAcentral's name for it is "partial 16S ribosomal RNA". It matches the Rfam family "Bacterial small subunit ribosomal RNA", at positions 28 to 507 of the family's 1533-position model. The record is from RNAcentral.